AAACACCAAAGUUCUGAUCACUGAAGUUAAGCAACAUUGUGCCUGGUCAGUACCAAGAUGGCUGACCACUUGUGAAUAUUAAGUGCUGUAAG
Molecule: non-coding RNA, 92 nt
Organism: Acanthosepion pharaonis
Lineage: Eukaryota; Metazoa; Mollusca; Cephalopoda; Sepiida; Sepiidae
Source: the annotation of a GenBank genome assembly